Molecule: ribosomal RNA, 592 nt
Filed under: uncultured fungus
Lineage: Eukaryota; Fungi
Description: partial large subunit ribosomal RNA
Rfam family: Eukaryotic large subunit ribosomal RNA
Source: RNAcentral
CAAUAAGCGGAGGAAAAGAAACCAACAGGGAUUGCCUCAGUAACGGCGAGUGAAGCGGCAACAGCUCAAAUUUGAAAUCUGGCCCCGUCGGGGUCCGAGUUGUAAUUUGUAGAGAGUGUUUCGGGUGAGACCACGGUCUAAGUUCAUUGGAACAUGGCGUCAUAGAGGGUGAGAAUCCCGUAUGUGACUGUGGCUCGAGCCCAUGUGAAGCCUCUUCGACGAGUCGAGUUGUUUGGGAAUGCAGCUCAAAAUGGGUGGUAAAUUUCAUCUAAAGCUAAAUACUGGCUGGAGACCGAUAGCGCACAAGUAGAGUGAUCGAAAGAUGAAAAGCACUUUGGAAAGAGAGUCAAACAGUACGUGAAAUUGUUGAAAGGGAAGCGCUUGCAACCAGACCUGUCCGUAGGUGAUCAGCCGCUGUUCUCAGCGGUGCACUCGCUCUGCGAUCAGGCCAGCAUCGGUUUCGGCGGUUGGAUAAAGGCCUUGGGAAUGUAGCUCCCUUCGGGGAGUCUUAUAGCCCUCGGUGCAAUGCGGCCAGCCGGGACCGAGGACCGCGCUUCGGCUAGGAUGCUGGCGUAAUGGUUGUAAGCGACCC